Molecule: ribosomal RNA, 253 nt
Filed under: uncultured bacterium
Lineage: Bacteria
Description: partial 16S ribosomal RNA
Rfam family: Bacterial small subunit ribosomal RNA
Source: RNAcentral
UACAGAGGAUGCAAGCGUUAUCCGGAAUGAUUGGGCGUAAAGCGUCUGUAGGUGGCUUUUUAAGUCCGCCGUCAAAUCCCAGGGCUCAACCCUGGGAGGCGGGUGGAUACUACAGAACUGGAGUACGGAAGAGGAGAUUGGAAUUCCUGGUGUAGCGGUGAAAUGCGCAGAUAUCAGGAGGAACACCAACAGCGAAGGCAGAUCUCUGGGACGUUACUGACGCUGAGACGCGAAAGCGUGGGGAGCAAACAGG